AUGAUACACCAGAACAAAUUCUUGAGGAGUUUUUCCAUCUAAGGAUUACAUAUUAUGAGAAAAGGAAGAAAGCUUUGCUGGAUAAUCUUGAGUUGGACCUGUUAAAGCUGGACAACAAAGUCAGGUUCAUUCUUGGUGUUGUUAAAGGUCAGAUCAUAG
Long non-coding RNA from Dendrobium catenatum, 159 nucleotides. RefSeq lists it as uncharacterized. The transcript is spliced from 3 exons. The record is from RefSeq and is a predicted model, not a curated record. Lineage: Eukaryota; Viridiplantae; Streptophyta; Magnoliopsida; Asparagales; Orchidaceae.